CAGCGCCGCAAGUGGGAAUCGUAUAUUUGGCCUAAAGCGUUCGUAGCCGGAUUUGCAAAUCUUCUGUGAAAUUGUACAGCUCAACUGUACAGCGUGCAGGAAACACUACAAAUCUUGGAACCGGGAGGGGUACAGAGUAUUCCAGGGGAAGCGGUAAAAUGCUAUAAUCCCUGGAGGACUACCUAUGGCGAAGGCACUGUACCAGAACGGAUUCGACGGUGAGGGACGAAAGCCAGGGGAGCGAUCCGGAUUAGAUACCCGAGUAGUCC
This 269-nucleotide ribosomal RNA is filed under the name uncultured archaeon. RNAcentral's name for it is "partial 16S ribosomal RNA". It matches the Rfam family "Archaeal small subunit ribosomal RNA", at positions 477 to 747 of the family's 1478-position model. The record is from RNAcentral.